AUCGAAAACUCAUAAGCUACAAGUUACAUAUAAGUUGAUGGUAACUAAAAAAAUUUGCUUCAAGAUUUAAUUUCUCUGAUGAUGUUUUGGCUUAACAAUAUGAAAACAGAUUUUCUCAAAUGGGGACAAGGUCCAUGUGGCAAAAACUCUUAGCAAGCUUGGAUUGAAGGAGUUAUAUGUUUUGAGACUCUGAAUCCCAUCAGUGAUAAUGAAGACUCAAAGUCCACAAGCUGCAGAAAGGUGUGAUGGAGAUAUCAUUGUUCAAAGCACUUCGUAAUAACAUAGAGCUAGACGAAACGACAUGUACACCCAAAUGGAAUUGGAUGAGGUGCGAGAAGAAUUGGCAACUCAUGUCCUAUAAUGGCUUUUUGAUUGAACUAAACAUUCCUCCAUUUUUCAUGUGUUUCUAGCUAGUAUUUUGCGUUAUAGACAAGUACGGAUAAUUUGUGGUGUGAGGUUGGAAAAAUUGUGAUUUGGAUGUGAUAAGUAUGGAUCUUUCAAGUAUUUUGCUUAUAUAUAUAGACAAGUAUGAAUAUAUAUAAAUUACUA
Molecule: non-coding RNA, 549 nt
Organism: Prunus avium (sweet cherry)
Lineage: Eukaryota; Viridiplantae; Streptophyta; Magnoliopsida; Rosales; Rosaceae
Source: RefSeq, a predicted model, not a curated record